UCACUCCCUUAGCAGGACUCGACGGCCUCCCUCAGACCCUCGCUGACCUGCCGGCUGCAAACGUGGCCCCUGUGCCGCCACCUCAGUAUUUCUCACCUGCUGUGAUCUUGCCAAGCCUCACAACGCCCCUGCCCACAUCACCGGCCCUGCCUCUGCAGGCUGUCAAGCUGCCUCACCCCCCUGGGGCACCCCUGGCUGUGCCCUGUCAGACCAUCGUGCCAAACGCACCAGCUGCUAUCCCCCUCUUGGCCGUGGCCCCGCAGGGUGUGGCCGCACUGUCCAUCCAUCCAGCAGUGGCCCAGAUCCCAGCCCAGAUCCCAGCCCAGCCUGUGUACCCAGCAGCCUUCCCAGGAAUGGUACCUGGAGACGUCCCUCCCUCACCCCACCACACAGUGCAGAGCUUACGGGCCACCCCUCCACAGCUGGCCUCGUCUGUGCCUCCUCAGUCUGUCCAGCCCAGUGUCGUUCAUCUACCUGAGCAGGCUGCUCCAUCUGCUGCCUCA
This 503-nucleotide long non-coding RNA is filed under the name Rattus norvegicus (Norway rat). RNAcentral describes it as "long non-coding RNA NONRATT012338". Lineage: Eukaryota; Metazoa; Chordata; Mammalia; Rodentia; Muridae. The record is from RNAcentral.